RNAcentral lists this ribosomal RNA (326 nucleotides) under uncultured eukaryote. RNAcentral's name for it is "partial 18S ribosomal RNA". It matches the Rfam family "Eukaryotic small subunit ribosomal RNA", at positions 1470 to 1796 of the family's 1831-position model. The record is from RNAcentral.
CCCUUAGAUGUCCUGGGCCGCACGCGCGCUACACUGAACGGAUCAGCGCGUUUUCCCUUCCCGAGAGGGACGGGUAACCUGCUGAACCCCGUUCGUGGUAGGGAUCGGGGCUUGCAAUUAUUCCCCGUGAACCAGGAAUGCCCAGUAAGUGCAAGUCAUAAGCUUGCGUUGAUUACGUCCCUGCCCUUUGUACACACCGCCCGUCGCUGCUACCGAUUGAACGUUUUAGUGAGGUACUCGGACUGAGCCUCAGAAGAUUCACGUCUUUUGUGCUGCUCGGGAAGAUUCCCAAACUUGAGCGUUUAGAGGAAGUAAAAGUCGUAACA